GAUGAACGCUGGCGGCGUGCCUAAUACAUGCAAGUCGAGCGAACAGACGAGGAGCUUGCUGCUCUGACGUUAGCGGCGGGCGGGUGAGUAACACGUGGAUAACCUACCUAUAAGACUGGGAUAACUUCGGGAAACCGGAGCUAAUACCGGAUAAUAUAUUGAACCGCAUGGUUCAAUAGUGAAAGACGGUUGUGCUGUCACUUAUAGAUGGAUCCGGGCCGUAUUGGCUAGUUGGUGAGGUAACGGGUUACCAAGGCGACGAGGCGUAGCCGACCUGAGGGGGUGAUAGGCGACCCUGGAAGUGGGCCACCGUCAAGGGUCCUGCGGGAGGCACCAGUCGCCAACCUUCCGCAGCGGUCGAGAGCCUUGCGGAGUGGCCGCGCGUGAGUGGCGACGAUCCUCCGUUCGUAAUGCUCUGUUUUGAGUUAUAAACCGCUUUGUCCGGAACCGAGCCCGGCGUGACGGUACCUGGUCAGGAAGCCCCGGCUAACUACGUG
This 497-nucleotide ribosomal RNA is filed under the name uncultured bacterium. RNAcentral describes it as "partial 16S ribosomal RNA". It matches the Rfam family "Bacterial small subunit ribosomal RNA", at positions 28 to 507 of the family's 1533-position model. The record is from RNAcentral.